This 73-nucleotide transfer RNA is filed under the name Vicugna pacos (alpaca). Its description in RNAcentral is "tRNA-Ala (AGC) (tRNA-Ala-AGC-740-1)". It matches the Rfam family "tRNA". From Rfam's summary of the family: Transfer RNA (tRNA) molecules are approximately 80 nucleotides in length. Their secondary structure includes four short double-helical elements and three loops (D, anti-codon, and T loops). Lineage: Eukaryota; Metazoa; Chordata; Mammalia; Artiodactyla; Camelidae. The record is from RNAcentral.
GGAGGGGAUAGCUCAGUGGUAGAGUGCGUGCUUAGCAUGCACGAGGUCCUGGGUUCAAUCCCCAAUCCCUCCA